GUAUAGCAUAGCUACUUGCAUCAUUGUAAAUAUGAUGCAAGAUCGACUAUGUCGAAUAAAAUUCUAGGUAGAAUUAUGAUAAUGACAUUGUCUGCCUAUGUGUCUUGACCAAAUUACGUGCCAGCAGUCGCGGUAAUACGUAGAAGACUAGUGUUAUUCAUGUUUAAUCGGUUUAAAGGGUACCUAGACGGUAAAUCAAGCCUAAAAGGAAAUAAAUGAAGGGACUAAUUUACUAGAGUUACUUCUGAGGGGGUAUUAAAGUACUGCUGGUGUAGAGAUGAAAUUCUGUCAUACCUCUUUUCAAUAGAAAAAUAAUGGCACAGGUAUAGGCGAAAGCAUCCCCUUAUGUGAUAACUGACGUUGAGGGACGAAGGCUUUGUGUAGCGAACAGGAUUAGAUACCCCAGUAGUCAAAGCAGAAAAUGAUGAAUGUCAUAGAUUAGAUAUAUAAGUUUAUUCUAUAAAUGAAAGUGUAAGCAUUCCACCUCAAGAGUAAUUUGGCAACAUUGGAACUGAAAUCAUUAGACCGUUUCUGAAACCAGUAGUGAAGUAUGUUGUUUAAUUUGAUGAUCCGCAAAAAACCUUACCACAAUUUGAAUAUUUAUAUCUUUUAUUGUUUUUCUUUUUAACUUUCUUCUGAUUUUCUACUUAAAAGAAAACAAUAACAAGAAAAAAGAGGCAAUAAGAUAUAUUUACAAGCGUUGCACGGCUGUCUUCAGUUAAUGUCGCGAGACUCUGGUUAGUUCCAUUAAAUUAACGUAAACCCUUACUUUAUUUUUAUAUAGAGUAGUUCCCCGCUAUAUUGGAUAUGAUAACAGGGACUAAGACAAGUCAUCAUGGCCUAAAUAUUGUGGGCUAUA
Molecule: ribosomal RNA, 859 nt
Filed under: Nephromopsis nivalis
Lineage: Eukaryota; Fungi; Ascomycota; Lecanoromycetes; Lecanorales; Parmeliaceae
Description: SSU rRNA
Rfam family: Bacterial small subunit ribosomal RNA
Source: RNAcentral